This 461-nucleotide ribosomal RNA is filed under the name uncultured bacterium. RNAcentral's name for it is "bacterial SSU rRNA". It matches the Rfam family "Bacterial small subunit ribosomal RNA", at positions 29 to 506 of the family's 1533-position model. The record is from RNAcentral.
ACGAACGCUGGCGGCGUGCUUAACACAUGCAAGUCGAGCGGUAAGGCCCUUCGGGGUACACGAGCGGCGAACGGGUGAGUAACACGUGGGUGAUCUGCCCUGUACUUCGGGAUAAGCCUGGGAAACUGGGUCUAAUACCGGAUAUGACCAUCUCUCGCCUGGGGGGUGGUGGAAAGCCUUGUGCGGUAUGGGAUGGGCCCGCGGCCUAUCAGCUUGUUGGUGGGGUAAUGGCCUACCAAGGCGACGACGGGUAGCCGGCCUGAGAGGGCGAUCGGCCACACUGGGACUGAGACACGGCCCAGACUCCUACGGGAGGCAGCAGUGGGGAAUAUUGCACAAUGGGCGCAAGCCUGAUGCAGCGACGCCGCGUGGGGGAUGACGGCCUUCGGGUUGUAAACCCCUUUCGCCUACGACGAAGCGAGAGUGACGGUAGUAGGAGAAGAAGCACCGGCCAACUACGU